AGAGUUUGAUCCUGGCUCAGGAUGAACGCUGGCGGCGUGCUUAACACAUGCAAGUCGAACGGGAUCCUGCGGGCUUUGCCUGCGGGUGAGAGUGGCGAACGGGUGAGUAAUGCGUGACCAACCUGCCCCAUGCUCCGGAAUAGCUCCUGGAAACGGGUGGUAAUGCCGGAUGUUCCCGCGCCCCGCAUGGGGUGCGGGGAAAGCUUUUGCGGCGUGGGAUGGGGUCGCGUCCUAUCAGCUUGUUGGCGGGGUGAGGGCCCACCAAGGCUUCGACGGGUAGCCGGCCUGAGAGGGCGACCGGCCACAUUGGGACUGAGAUACGGCCCAGACUCCUACGGGAGGCAGCAGUGGGGAAUAUUGCACAAUGGGCGCAAGCCUGAUGCAGCGACGCCGCGUGCGGGAUGGAGGCCUUCGGGUUGUAAACCGCUUUUGUUUGGGAGCAAGCCCUUCGGGGUGAGUGUACCUUUCGAAUAAGCACCGGCUAACUACGUGCCAGCAGCCGCGGUAA
RNAcentral lists this ribosomal RNA (508 nucleotides) under uncultured bacterium. RNAcentral describes it as "bacterial SSU rRNA". It matches the Rfam family "Bacterial small subunit ribosomal RNA", at positions 8 to 523 of the family's 1533-position model. The record is from RNAcentral.